GACGAACGCUGGCGGCGUGCUUAACACAUGCAAGUCGAACGAGGCCCAUUCUUCGGGGGUGGGUUCUAGUGGCGAACGGGUGAGUAACACGUGGGCAACCUGCCCCUGGCUCUGGGAUAACUCCAAGAAAUUGGGGCUAAUACCGGAUAUGACCGCUGACCGCAUGGUCUGGUGGUGGAAAGUUUUUUCGCUGGGAGUGGCCCGCGGCCUAUCAGCUUGUUGGUGGGGUAGUGGCCUACCAAGGCGACGACGGGUAGCCGGCCUGAGAGGGUGACCGGCCACACUGGGACUGAGACACGGCCCAGACUCCUACGGGAGGCAGCAGUGGGGAAUAUUGCGCAAUGGGCGAAAGCCUGACGCAGCGACGCCGC
Molecule: ribosomal RNA, 371 nt
Filed under: uncultured bacterium
Lineage: Bacteria
Description: bacterial SSU rRNA
Rfam family: Bacterial small subunit ribosomal RNA
Source: RNAcentral